CUCACCAUUAACCUGCCAUCUUUCCUUUUCUUUUUAUUUCAACAAAUUUGAACCAAGAAUUAAAAAAAUAUCAUCACAACCGUUUACACUAUCUUAUUUAUUCACAUGACAUGCCACAAAAUGGACAAUAUUGAUCAUAUCAUCUCAAAAUUAAACAUACUUACCCUAAUUCCGUGAACAUGCACAAAAACAAAUAAAUUGCAUCCUUUGUUCAGAGCACAGAAAUUUAAAAAAAACACGCAAAGGAACAAUUACAAAAUUUCCAUGUACAUUUCUGAAGAAAAUAUGAACAUCUCACGAAUUUGCGUGAGCAUCAUGGAAAAUCACAUAAACUUUCUGGCAUGGACGCUGCAGCCACAAACCCAUAAUGGAAGAUGCGGAUACGGCAUCAUGGGCAUCAACAAGAAGAGUGACGUAUGAGAGAAAAAGAUACGGUUGGUGAAAAUAAUUGGCAACGUCGACGAGGCGUGGCUCCGGCGAACUCAAAACGUGGAGGAGGUCACCCAUCCGUGGACCACGCAAAGGAAAUUACUGCUGAAGAAGAAGCAUGCGGCGCGAAGCACAUGGAUCCACCUGGAGAAGCCCGCCCCUCCCUCCAUGGAUCCGCCGUCCAUAGAUCCAUGUGGAGGAGCUCGCCUCCAUGGAUUCACCUUCCGUAGAUUCCACGCAGAAGUGAGAAAACGGAGAGGAAAAGGGGAGGAGAAACUCCAGCAACUUGCCUCGCCGGGGCCUCGGUCGCCACACAAAUCUUGCCGCCGCCGCCUCCGGACUCUGUAGAUCCGGUGAUGAUGCACCGCCGUUUCGGUCGCGCCUCCAAUCCGGCCACCGCCGCCGCCGUCUCCUUGCUAGCGCCGGCGAAAAGAGAGAGCGUGAGAGAGGGAUACGGAGAGACGGGUAGGGUGGGAUUGAAAAGGCAAAGACCGGUCAAGAAGGUAACAGCAAGGAAGUACAUUGCUUCACGACAUUGGUACACAUUAGUAGUUUUAUAGAUCGUCUCAUACAGUACCACGUAGGAUUUUUGAUGAUGUGAAGGAGAGAGAGCGAGGAGAAAGAAAGAGGUCGUUGCUUCGCGAAACAACCACCUCAUGAGCUAAAUUGUAGGACUACGAAACAACUUAACAACUAUUGUACGAGUUAUUGUAGCCACGCAACUCAUAAUAUUUUAUUUUUCUUAUGCGCAAAUUAAGGAAUUAUAUACCACUACCAGACAACUUAUAGGACAACCUAUUGUACGAGUUGCCUGUUGAAUCAUCUCAAGAUUACGUGUCAAUGCAUGAGACCACCUAUUAGACGACACCAAUGUAUAAGCUCCUUCCUAAUCUCUUGUUAUUUCUCUGUUUAAACAGCAAGGUUCCCAUCCGACGGCUGCGCAAGACCAGUGCCGCGGCCCACCAACGCAGCGAUGAAUUUCCAUCCCACGAGGCUAGGGCGCAGCCGCGCAGGGCUUUUUUAGGGUCUGUUUGGCAGAGCUCCACGCAGCUCCAGAUCAAAAAAAAUAACAGCUCCACCACAGAGCAGCUCCAGCGUGGAUCUAUGCUCUCACCGUGGAGCUGAGCAAAAGUGUUUGGCUGAGACAACAGCUCCAAAUCCAGAAACAGAGUUUUUGGUUGGAUUGUCAACUAAUGCCCUUGGUGUUUUCCAUUUUUUCUUCUCAUUUUUUUUCUGCUUAUAAGAAAUAAAUGUAAAUGUGAGAAAACAGUUAUGCGUCAAUUAACGAUUUGUUGUCAACUGUGUCGUUUAGCUGGUUGCCGGCUUAUAUAAAGUUUCUAGUGAAUUUAUGUUCGGCGUGGUAGCUACCGAUUGGUGUUUUCCCAUUUUUUAUUCUCAUUUUUUUCUAAUUACGGGGGAGGUACGCAAUAGUGAUCAUCCUGCUGUCAUAUUUGGCCGUUGAAUCCAUAGAUCGAUAAAGACCGGACAAAAGCCCAGUCAUUUCCCAAGAAGUUGAUUAAUUGUUCAUACAUAAAUUAAUUGUUCAUACAUAAAUAAUUGUCCAUACAUAAAAAAUAAAUUUGAUAAUUCACUACUUCAUUACAUUCUACCUCCAAGCAAGAGCAAGAUUGGUGGCCAGCUCAUCGCGAAAAAUAUCCAUUGUAGUGACACUGCCUUCUGAAGUAGAUCCAUCCGAUGGAACUACAAAUCGAUUGUACCGUUGCGGUAUUGUAGGGACAAAAUUAGGAUCACAAUCAAACCGAGCAAAGUCUGAAUCCUCACUAUUAUGCUCACGAAUGAAAUUGUGAAGGACCAUACAAGCAAUAACUACCAUUUUUUGUUUCCACAUCGGGUAGUUCGGCAUUUUGUAUAAAAUUUGCCACUUCAUUUUCAAUUUCGCUCAAUCACAUUUCGAAUAGAAGAAUGGAUGCGAUUGAAUUUUUCCUUUGGAGUUUUUGGUUCCAUACCUCUAUGCUACUCAGGCAUAUGAUACCUCUCACCCUUAUAUGGAGCUAGAUAACCUGGACGAUUGGGAUACCCCGCAUCGACAAUGUAGUAUUUACCUACAAAUGAUGACAAAAAAUAAAUUUAUUUAUAGUCACGCAUAAUGGUAAAGUAACUAUUUCAAUAAAUUUUACCUUGCGGUGGAUGUGGAAAGAAUUUCUCGUCCACACUCAAUGCAUUGUAUAACACACUUGUGUCAUGCAUAGCUCCUGGUUGGCCCGUUGACACAUAUGUGAAAAUGUAUUAUGUCAACAAGUCCACCUCUGCUACGCAGACAGGCAGAACUGCACUAUAAGCCCACAAACUAGUUCAUUAUAUGUGACAAGUUGUCUAAUUUUGAUUAUGUAAACUAUAUGCAUUAUACAUUUUUGUGCACCCAUCAAAUUUUAUCUAACUUCAUUAUGGAUGCUGAGGUAAACAAGCGAUUCAAAUCGUACCACCCUUAAUCGACACUUGCUAUUAGCUGGGCGAUAAAUAGUGAUGCAAUUUCUCGCUGAUCUUUUCCUCUCAUUUUCAGGAUCUUAUCAUGGCUUUCGUGUAUAUACAGGAGCUUCAAAAUAAGCUUGUUUGUACAUAAUGCUCUAUACGUGCAUUUUUACGGACUAUCGUUGCACACAGUUGAGGUGAUUUUCCAAGAAGCCAGAGAUUUUAUCUGUCAGGAAAUAAUAAGGGUCCCUACACCUGCUGAAUAAUUUAACCAGAUAUGAUUAACAUAAGGUAUUGACAAUCAGAUAUUUCGGGUCUUUCGACAAAACAAGCAACAAAGUAUAGAAAUAGGACAAAAUAUGCGAGAAUGCCAAAAUCGUACCAAGCCAUCCGCGGCCACGCUACCACCGUUGGCCGCGUCGCCCAGGCCAGCCGCGGCCCGGCUUGCGCCAUCCAGGCCGGCCGCGCCGCCCAGGUCAGCCGCGGCCAGGCUUGCGCCGCCCAGGCCAGUCGCGGCCGGGCACGCCGCCCAGGCCCGCCGCGGCCAGGGUCCCGCCGCCGGGCGCGCCAGUGACACCGCCGGGACGGGGAAGUCCAACCCUAGGGGCCGGAUUGGAAGAUGAAGGGGGCGGAGGAGGUGGAGGAGGAGCUGAUCUCCUCAUUCCCGGCGGCGGUCCGGCCACCGACGGAGACGAAGGCGCUGGAGGUGGCGGCCGGCGCUGGAUGCGGCGGGGAAGAAGGAAGAAAGAAAGCGUCGGAUGAAAAAAAGAGGGGCGGCGCGGAGAAAAGAAUAGACACGAAUCGGUACGAGGAUGUGUAUAAUCGAUGGCAUUGGUGGGUAAUUUCCACCAACUCCAUGAGGGGUUACAAAACCAGCAUUUUGAGAGCACCCCAGGGGUGCUUCGUGGAUUUGGUGGAUCUGGAAGCUGGAUCCAAUUUUUUUGCGGAUCUGGAUUUCACGGAGCUGCACCGUUUAGCUGGAAAAAAUGGGAGCAGAGCUGUUUUUAAGGAUCUGGAGCUGCGUGGAGCUCUACCAAACAGACCCUUAGGUAGCCUUUGGUUUGGAGGUAAAAUGGUAUGGAUCCGUACCCAAUUUUAAGGAUAGAAUAGAUCCAUCUCCGUGUUUGAUGGGAGGAUGGAACUGUUCGAUUAUUUUUGAGACAAUUCCUUCUGCGCCAUUAUAAAAGGUCUUGGUUCCGUAUCUGCUAUCUGCCAUGAAAAAAAGUUCUUGGUCCCUCAGUGCCAUUGGCUCAUGUUUUUGUUCUCUGAGUGCCACCGCUGUUACUUCGAUCCGUUACGUAAAAUUGACGUUAGGAGCUAUCUGGACGUCAGUUUAUUUUGUAACCGACAGUUUUACCCUUAGUUUUCCUUUACACUCCCUGUCUUCACAGCCCUUUCUUUUUUCUUCCUUUCCUACCCGGUGGAGGACCUCCAUCCGCCCCCACGGCCUGCCGCGAGGCGUAGCAAUGGCAGCGGGGCGCAGAGAUUGCGAGCGGCGCGGCAGGGCGUAGCGGCGAGAUGGGAGCGGCGGCUACUGCUCGUUCUCAUUGGUGCCAUCGGCGUCAAUCCUAGCAGUCAGCCCCCGGCGUGGCCGCGACACCCUGGGCAAGGCCGGCCCCGCAAGUCCUCUAGGAGCAGCUCGAGCAACAGAGAGCUUGGCCUCAGGGUCGAAGGGCGUCCGGCGACGUAGCUCGGGGGGAGGAGCUCGGGCCGGAGCAGCGCGCGCGGAGCUAGGCUCCAUGGAGGGCGGCACGAUUGAGGCAUCUCCGCUUCCCUCACCUCCAGGAUGGUGCCCGCCCCGGCGAAGACCUCGCACACCACCAUGCUCGUGGUGCUGAUGGGUGACGUCCGCGCCUGUUUAGUUGGGAGAAGAAAGCAGGAAGAUGAACAGAAGGGUAAAAUGGACAUUCGGUCUUGCUGGUAGCUUCCUUUUCCGCUAAUCUAGACAGAAGUGGCACCGAGGUCCAAAAAAAGUUGGAGCGGUGGCUCCCAAGGCACCGUAAAUUUUUUAUGGUAAAUAUGGAAUUAGAAACUUUUUUAAUGGCUCACGGGGAAUUGCCUCAUUUUUUUCGAAAGAGUGAGGAUGGAAGGGUUCUUAUUCCGUUAACACCGUUAACCGUGGGGUCCGUUUGUCAGUGAAACAAGUCUCUCACCCUCUUCCUCAACGCUGCCGCCGCCCUUCAUUUCAAGCCCUUGCAUCCGCUCGACCGCUCAAAUCUGAACCAUGCGCAAGCUAGAAAUAUCAGCAAUCAACUAAUCAUUCCUUCACACCUUGGCCUGAAGAUCACACCCGAAGCAAUAUGUCAUUUCUUCAUCGGAUUAUGGAGCAAGAAAAGAAAAUUUUGCCACGUCUUGUCUCCGUCCAGCACCCGUCGCUGCCAUGCGCAUCGGCCGGUCCAGCCCCUUCCGUUGAGCCUGCUCGUCCCGUAGGCAAGCCCCCGUCGCCGCAGGUGAGCCGUCGCCCCGCAGCCCUGCUUGCUGCUCGCCUUGGCCGUGCGCCUCGCCGGCGGCCGGCCGCCGCCCCACGGCUCGCACGCCCCGCCUGCGAACCCCACCGCUGCAGCGCUGCUGCUCGGCCUGGCCUCGCGCCCUGGUUGCAAGCUUCCGGCGGGCGGCGGCGCCGGCAAUCGGCACCCGCCGCUUGAACACCUGUGCGAGAGAGACGCGAGCAAGCUAACGGUUUUUCACGCCGUUGGAAAGGGAUGAGCUCGUCCGACCUGAAAUUUGGAAUGAGCCGGUGCAGCAUCUCGAAGGAAUAUUCUUGUUGUGGGAUGGCUCCAUCCCUCGAGUCCAUGAGCCAACGCAGUGAAAAUUGGGAUGGAACGGCUCCGUUCCAGUCCAUUCCUCAGACGCAUCCAUAGGUGAUGACUGAGGGCAACUGGAUUCGACUGCUUGAUACGUUGAAGUGCAUAAUGAUACAAAUCUUGCUGUUUUCUGAAGUACUAAUUUAUGUAAGAGUUGGAUUUUAAAAGCAAUAGCCUUUAAAUUAAAACCUCCAAAGAUCAAGGAAGGUUCUCUUUUUUUUGUCACAAAAAUAAUUCUAACUCUAGAAAUACUCCCAUGAAUAGAGGGCUUCCUAAAGACCCUAGAAAUAGAGGAUGGAGGAGGAAAUUUGAAGACCUCCCAAAAUAGAGAGAUAUGUAGAGAACCUACUGAAAUGCGUUUUCUUUAUUAACCCUUUAAACUUAGGAUAGGAGACUGUUAUAGGAUCUUGCUUAUUUUCUCUCCUACACGACUCCAAGCGAGCAGUCCUUAGCGUCACCAUUACACGUGAGUUCAAACUUCUUCAUAUUCUCCUAUUCUUCUCCUCCUUUUUGCCUUUCUCAGUCGUCUCAGUGGUUUGAUACCCCACACAUGCUCAUAGCCACUAUCUGCCCACCUCGAUUUUGUGGUCUUUCUCUCUCUUGAUCCUUUAGCCUCCUGCAAAUCCCUAAGAUUGACCACAAUGGAAGCUAAAAACAGUAUAUAGGGAAUAAACAAUUUCUAUACUAAUCCAAAUACAUUAUAAAACUAGUCCAUAUAACAAUUUAUUUCUCUCCUUCCUUCACUUUCUCUCCAUCUCUCUCCUUCCUCCCCUUUCUCCAUGCCCCACCGCUACUGCCUACUUUUUGUACUGGCCAUUAUGACAUUUGCAAUAUCUAUAGCCUAUAGAUCACUGUCAUAUGAUCCCACCUCUAAGGACUACUUGAUCCAAAUACAUUGGGUCGACCUAACAAUUCACUUGACCAAUUUUACCAUCAUUUUAUUAUAUGGAACUUAGAGUAUUCAAUGUAUGUUAUUUUAGAUCUAGCACUUGUCUUCUUUUGUUUUAAGAUUAACCAAUUGAUUAUAGUCCUUAGAGUUUAUUUAAAUAAAACUGUAGGGUUAUUAUUGAAGAGAAAAUCUCAUAAUAAGCCUGAAUUUUAUCUUGUAGGUAUAUUUUCUCACAUAGCUCCUUGAACUUGUAAUUUACAUUAUCAACCCCCUUAAAUUGAGUUAUUAUCUUACUCUUGAAAAUUCUAAAGCAAAUUCUUAAAUUUUUUUAAUCAGGUUUACAUACAAAAUUGUGAAAUUAAACCAUUUUGUAUUGAACCUUGAUCCUCUUAUCUUUUAGCGAAAAAAAGCCUUCGCUCUAGAAGCUUGGAACUAGAAUCCUUAGGGCCUGUUUGUUUGAGCUACAACUUUUGAGCUUUUCUAAGAAGUUGUUGGUGCCUGGUCUGCAGUGUGGAGCUUGCGGCAGCCAAGGGUCUGCGGUGUGGAGCUUGCGGCAACCAAGGGUGGUGCGGCACCUUCAGAGGCUGCGAUGCCUGCAGCUGGUGGCACGGGCGGCGACGUCUUAGCAGCAAUGCUCCGUCGAUUUCAACUUGCGCGGCGGGUGUGGCGGGGACACCUGUGGUCCUUGCGGCAGUGCUCGGUGAUGGUGGGGACGCCUGCAAUGCGUCACCAAAAGCCGAUGUUUGUGUGUGGCAGCAAUGAUGCGUGAUGACGGUGUACCACGGCUAUGCGCGGUGAAGUCUUCUAGGUGAAAGCCAUUCCACAAUGGAUGCGCGUCCGACGGCGCUAUGCAUCGUGCCCUUUCUUGGAGGCGAGGCGUCGUUAUGGAAGCUUUGCUUCACCUCAUCCUGUCAUGUUGGCUACUCUGUGGUUUAUUUGGUGGUUGGCACUACUUGCUCGUGAGGUGUGGUUAGGUCGGCACGCUGAGCUUGGUGUUGACGGUGGAGACCAAGUUGCCGAUUCAAGGUGCAUGUGUACGCGGUGGCAGAUGGCGGCUGAGAAGAGGUGUUGGUGGAUUGGUGGGCAUGAUUUCUGUUGGCAGUUUAGGGUGGUGGUUUGGUGUGCCAUGCGUCUAACCACAAAGUUGGCAUGAAGGUCGCCGUGGGAGGAGUGGGAUGACAAAGGAGCACCUGUGUGGUGUGGCGGCAGAUGUGCCCGCAUAGCGGUGGCCGUUCUGGUGCAAGGAGACCUUCUAUCGGCCGUUGGAGGCCCCGUGUGGCACAUCUGCUAUCUUUGUUGAGGCAACUGGGUUGCCUUGAGCUAUGGUGUGUGCGGUCAGAUCACGGUGGGUGGGGUCAUCAUGGCGACGGUCGGACGCAGCUACUCAUGUUUCGGCCUAAGCUUGCAGCGGUCAGGGUGGCCAUGCUCUGGCUAUCAGGGGCUGGUCCGGCAUGUGACAACGUCGAGAGGUGGCGCAAGUGGAUCCGAUGGUGUGACAGCUACACAGCUUGCUGUGGACUAUGGCAACUAGCCCUACAUGGCAGUGGCUAGCUCAGUGUGGGACAUCGUCAGCCAUGAUGGUGCAAGCGGUGACAAAUGGCUUAUCGGUUUGAUGGUUUUAUCCUCCAGUGAUGGCGGUGCAGCUUGGCAAUCGGUUAGGAGUGGAGUGGUGUUUAUGGAGUAGCGAGGUGUCAUGCGGUGUCAUUAUGUUGUUGCUCGGUGUUGCAGUUGUAUUUGUUUGGUCCAGUUUGGAUUUUACCUUCUUUUUAAUAUAAUCGGCAUCGUUAAAAAAAUGGUAUGCUUCGUUAAAAAACAUGGUCCGGUAGGAAACCUUCCAAUCAACCCAUUUCUUUUCCGUAGCACACCAGUAUCUUCCUAAUACCCACUGACAAGCAUUCACACAAUCACAUCUAAGCUCACCUUUGACAACUAGCACAUCUUCCCCCAGCCCACCGUCCAGGCCCGUCCCUAGAGGUGUGCGACCCAUGCGACGGUACAGGGUCUCCAAUUUUUAAGGGCCUCGAUUUUCUAGUGCUCAACCCAUCAAGCCUACUAAUCCCUGGCCCAAAACAUGUUUCUCUUGAUCAUUUGGAUCACUGAAGCAACACCGAAACCCAAAGCUUCUUUUCCCAUCAUGCCGCCAAUGCAGUGGAGGCGUGGAGGCGUGGAACUUGAUUCCUCUUGAGAUCUUCUUGCUUCCGAACGGGACAUGCUCACGUACUGAGUUACACAGCUAGAAGACAAGCAAGUUAAUUGUAAGGUGAUUUUCUGUUUCUUUACUCGAUUGAUUGCUGAUCGAUUCUACUUAUUGCUUUACAUGGACUAGUUAACGAGCUUUUUUCUUAUCUUUUUUAUACAUGCACGUCAAUUGGUCUAGAUAUCUGGUGUUUCAAGAUCAAAGCUAUAUUUUCUGCAGGAAACCGAUCUAGAAAAUAUGAUUCUGCUCGCCAAAGGCAUAAGAAAAAAAACCAAAGGACAGAGGAAUGAACUCAACCUCAGGAAAAAGGCUAUGGAUAAGUAUAUUAUUAAAAAAUCGUUAGGAAGCCUCAUUUAAAGUUCUGAACAGGGCCUCGGUUUUUUGCGGGACGACCCUGCCACCGUCCGAUCCAUCGUACAUUCCACCGCGAAUCUAAUCGUCCACACUCCACCGAAUCUAAUCGUCCAUUCCGUCGAUUUGAAAAAAAGAUUAUGGUCCCACUCAUCAGGAGGUAUAAAUUCGCUCUCCCUCCAAACCGGGAGCCGAAGCCAAAUCAUCAGCGCAGCGCUGACGGCAGAGCGAAGCGAAACCAAAACCCCAGUCGCCCUCCUCCACUCCCCACCUCGUCGCAUCCGCCGCACCACGCUGCCGCUGUCCAGCGAUUCCAGAUCGAACGAUCGGUAGGGCGGUCCAGCGCGCUUCGCAGGUAAGGUUAUAUCCUGCGAGCUCUUGCGCGGCUAAUUUCCCAUUUUUAAUCUGGUUGGUAAUGUUUGCGGGAGGUCUGAUUCAUGGGUGGGUGCGCGCUUGGUUUGGGCCUCGGGCGAUCCGUUCUCAAGAGUUUGGGAACGGAGGGGGUGUUGGAUGCUGCGUGUUUCGGGCUCUUAGGAUUUAGUUCCCUUUUUGUUUGGUGUGUUGGGGAACAUUUCAGUACGGGGGUUUGUCUGUCCAUGAGGAAUUUGUGGGGAACUCUAGUGGAAUGCUGGGGUUUGUGGGACUGGAUGACGCUAGGAUUCGCUAGAGUUUGAUGAAUAUUGGCGGCUGGAGCAAAAUUUUUGGUGGGAUUGUGGUGAUCCUCUGGCCUCUGGUUUGCUUGUGUUUUGGGGGAUUUUUUUUGUCAGGUUUGUCAAGUCCCCGAGAGUUUCGGUUGUUUUAGUGGCAAUGCGUAUUUUCUUCGAUCCUGGUAUUUUUAGGUCGUAAUUUCGUUGUAUUUGUCCAUUGUGGGUUCAUGGAUUGCUGCAAUCAGGGGGUUAUGUUGUGUUUUGGGCUGAAAUCAGGGGGUUAUGUUGUGUUUUGGGCUGAAAUUGUUCGAUUCCUGGGUUGGGUUUCUGGAAUUGUUUGCGGGCUUCAGUUCUUUUUGUGUAAUUUAUUUGACCUCAUUAUACUGAUUGACCUUGGAAUCCAUCAUAGACGUUUGCACAGCGCAAAUGAGCAAGUGACUGGCUUGUUUACAGUUAAAUUGAAUUUUAACUUGUGAUGCUAUAGGUGAUCCUGGAGAUGAUAGUGAAAAUCUAGCAGUAGCACCAGCUUGGAUCAAGAAUUAGGGGGAAUGGACAAGCCACCAGAGCUUUCUCUGGGCUCAAUGCAUCUGGACAUUGCCUCUGCCUUCUAUGCUGGCAAGCCAGAGAUUGCUACCACAGCAGCAGCGCUCUCCCAGGCGCUUGGGCAAGCACAAACAUGUCCCCGCCUUCAGCCUUCACUGCAGAGCCUCCAGUCGUCGCUUCUUCUGUGGCCUCCGGUGAUAUGGUCUACAUGGGCUGCUGUGAAGCACCCUAUGCCAUUACCUCAUCUCCCUCCAGCUAAGAAGCUGAAGUUGCUACAAACUUCAUCAGUACUGACACCAGCUUUGCCAGAUACGGAGGCUUUGCCAGUUGUAGAGUUGCCACUGCCAAAGCUUCCAGUGCGUCAUCCAUUGCCAAAGCUGCAGGUGCGUCGGCCGUUGCCAAAGCUGCAGAUGCAUAACCCGUUGCAACAGGCAUCCCUAGUGCUGGAGAAAGAGUCACUGAAGCAGGAGAUGCCGGUAACACCACUAACAUCUGCAACCUCCGUUAACCUGUGAGUUUUAUCUCGUUGCACCUUAUCAUGUGAUUCUUAAGCUUUAAGUCUUAUGGUGUAUAUAAUGAGAUGGAAUGCUUCCAAAGAAUUGAAUAUCUUUCAGAUUACUUCCUGUUUGAGCCAUGCUGAAUGUUUUUGGAGAUAUUUGCCCAAAUGUGUAUGUGAAUAUCUAAAUCAUAAUUUAGUGAGAAAACCAGGACACAUUAAGAUAUGAUUUACAAAAAAUUAUGUAUAUUGUACUUGUUCCUUCUCUACUUUUGUCAGAGCAAGAAAGAGUUUCCUGGAAACUUGAAAUACUUGUGUCAAAAGGCUUAAUGACACAUCACCAUCUUUUGACGAUAUUUUUUUACUGGUGAAUUGUUUUUGUUCUCUUCACGAUGCUGAAUUCCCAAAAUUUGUGGAUUGAAACACUAUCUGGAUCGAAAAAUAAGACACCGGCAGGGAUAAGAAACUGCAAGUGCAAGAACUCAAAAUGUCUGAAGCGGUAGGUUCCCUAAUAAGUUUCUUCUAUGUUUGUGAAGGUCCUAUCAAUUUUCAUCCAAAAACUAUGCAGCAAAAGAAUUAUCUUGCCAUCGCAGUUGAAUUUUGGUUUUUGUUUUCUCUUCUUAUGUUUUCCUUUAGUUAUUUAGAUACAACACAUAAGCCUUACUCCAAACUGUUUGCAUGCUAAAAUAUCACUAUGGUUGUACCUUCAUCAUAUGUUGUGUGUCUGCCACCUUUAUUGUUUUAGUUCCACCUGGAUGUAAAAAGUUCACCUGAGUAAUAUGUAUAACAAUCACAUCGAAUAAAGUUGAAAGUUAGAAGAAAUGGAUAAAGAGCAACUGUAGGAACUGCAAGGAAAUAAUUUCACACAGCACCCUAUUUUAGUCUUUUCUCAAGAGGCAUGCAUGUGACAAUUUUUACUUGAUGUACGACUAAGGGCUCUGCUACUUCAUCUUUUUAUAACUUUGUCACUAAGUUGAUUGCUAUAUGAAACUUGCUUUAUUGUAUUGUAUACAGUCAGUGCACCAGACACAAUGGAUUGAGCAAAGCAACCUACAGUCACAUGCAUAUUGCCUUCACUAUAGAGAUGGAAGCUAAAAAACCAUAGAAAGCAGAAUUCUGGUCUCAAAUUUUGAAAGAGUAUAAGGAGUACAUAGGAAUCCUAUUUUAAGUCCCAUGUUGGGAAACUCAUACUUGUUGAGCAGUUAGCACCUUUCAUUUCUCUGAAUAGUGUGUCCCUUUUAACAACGAUGAGCUGAUACAUUUGAAUUUCUGUUGCUUCUGUUAAUGAUGUGCCCUCUGCGAUCAAGCACUGGAAACGGCAAAGCACCUGUUCUCCAGAUGCUCCUACACGUUGCAGGUGUGGCAUGAAGUCAGCACUUCAAUCAACAUUCAGAACACUGCACCGUUACAGCAUCAGUCACUGCUGGAUUGGUGGCUGCAGAAAAGAGCUGGUUUCACUACAAACAAGCGCAAAGGCCUUGAUUCAGCUUUCAUGCUAAUCUCCUGGAACCUUUGUAAGGAGAGGAAUGACGGAGUUUUCAAUCGUUCCCAGGCCAAGAAUGUCACUACACGAGUCCAACAGAUCACAGCAGAAGGUGAGAGGUGGUGCGCGGCAGGCGCCAAGAUCUAGCAGCUCUGGGCUGGCCAGGGAACCUAGGGACGCCAAACAUGGCGCUGUUGUUCUCAGCACACGCUUAGAACUCUAUAGCUAGGUUUCCACCCAUUGGUUGUAAAGGUUUUAUGUGUUAGCAAGUUUUGCAACUUGAACCGUGUGCGUGCGUCCGGAAGGCUUAAUACAAAGAUGCGCAGCUCUCCGGCGUAUUCACGAAAAAAACAGUUAACAGUUCUUAGCAUUUCAAUAAUAUUUUUUAUGUUACCUGGUUUCUUUUUUUAAGUCAUAAUCCUACUCAUUGGUCUUUUGAUUGAAUCAUUUCUAGGUAUUGUGAGUGUUUUGCAGCAGGGAGAUACUGCAAAGGUUUCAAUUGCACAAACUGUUAUAACAAUGGUAGUCAUGAUAAUGCAAGAGCAAGACAGGAUGCUAUCGAUGCUGUACUGGAACGUAGACCUAUGGCCUUUAUGCCCAAAGUCGAGAACAGAUCAUGCUCAAAGCAAAGUUCUGAGGUAGGGCAUGGUGUAUACUUUUAUUAUGCUGCUUAUGUUUAUUUCAGGGUCUCUACUUCUUUAAUAUCUUAGUUAUUCAACUAUCCUAUGUCAUUUGUGAACAAGAGUUGUUUGUUAUUUUCAUUUCUAAAUGGUGGAAGUACAAUAAAGGAAAAACUUGAAGUGACCUUUUAAGUAAAAUUGCAGGUAAUGUUUCUUGGGUUGAGAGUUUAAUAUCAUUGGAAAAAGUGUCACAUGUGAUGUGCACAAGUACUAUUUGAUGCUAAUUGUUUGGUUUUUUUUUACUUUAAAGGCCUUUUCUUUAUUUGGUCAUCUGAAGUUUUCUAUCCAUGAACUAUUUUAUGGUCAUGAUUUCAUUAUCUAACUUUCUAUCUUUUGAUACAUAUUCAAUGCUUUCGUAAUAUAGACAAAAUUUAACAUGAUCCUUUGUGUCAAUUAAAUGAUAAUAGUCGAUCACGAGGCAGGUAAUUGUUACCUAAGUAACAAACUGGAUGCUUGAGUUAAAAAGCAAUACCUUAUUAUGGUCAUAAUUUUGUUGCCUUACUUCCUUACGGUAUCUUUUCAAUGAAUGCAAAAAUUGCCAUGUUCCUGUGUCAGAGAAAGUUAACAGAGAAACAAUACAGAUACUGAGUUGCAUACUAUAUACCAUCAUGUCAUGUGUGAAUGUUAUCUCGUUUACGUUACAGGGAAAAGAAGCAGAAGGCCCACAUGUUGGGAAGCAUACAAGAGGCUGCAAUUGCCGGAAAUCAGAAUGUCUGAAGAAAUACUGUGAGUGCUUCCAAUCUAAUGUUCUCUGUUCAGAUAACUGCAAAUGCAUGGAUUGCAAGAACUAUGAGAGUAAUGAAGAGAGGAAAGCAAUUCGUGCCCAGAAGCAUACCGUCUUUGUGCAGAACAAGCAGAAUUAUGCUUCAAGUGGAAUUCUUCAACCAUCUUCAGUCCUUCCUCGUACAACAAAAAAUGACUCUGUUACCUCAAUGGCUGCAUCAGGCAUCCAUCAUCCCACUAGCAACAAUGGAUCUUCACAAAUAAUUCUUUUUAAACAUACUUUUCAAUGUUGUCAAUUGUCAUGUUUUCUACUUUCAUUAUAGGACUUCCAAUACAAUUUAAGGCUACCUUACUGUAGUAUACAUGAUAUGGGCUGUUGUGCUGCCCUUUGAAUAUGAGGGUUGUUGAUUACUCCCUCCGUUUCAAAUUGUAGGUUAUUUUAGUUUUUCUAGAUCCAUAGAUAUAAUUAUGCAUCUAGAUAUACACUAUAUCUAUGUGCAUAAUAAAAAAUAUGCACCUAGAAAAGCCAAAACCUUCUACAAUUUGGGACGGAGGGAGUACCUAAUUAGUAAUUCUACUCUUAAAUCUUACUUAUUUGAUUUAUUUUUUUUUCUAGAAUACGCAGGAGAGCUGCGUAUCAUUCCAUUAAGAAGAGAUAAAAGUACUAAUACAACGCGGGCCUAAACCGGGCACACGCACACGGUAGAUGGUUCUAUGGGCUGAUUACACGAGGCGGGAGCUCCUAGAUAUUAAACCACGAAUGGCACAUCAUCACAGACUCUCAAAAUGCCAUCCUACACUAUAUAGCCAAUGUGCCCCAGCCAUGAACCAGGUCGCCGCUUCUUCCGCGACUGCUACUGCUAGCUGUUGCGGUAUCUGUUGAGGGUCUCCGGUGAAGACCCGAUUGUUUCGCUCUUUCCAAAUGCGCCAGGAGACCAAGAUGAUUGUGGAGUCGAACCCUUUCUUCCUGGCACCAUGGAAGCUUCGUCUCCAGAUCAACCACCAAUCCAAGAGUAGCUUCGUCUCCGGAUCAACCACCAAUCCAAGAGUGAAUGCCCGGGGGCUGGUAUGGAUGAGGCAUUGCCUGUCAUUUGAUCAACUGAGUGCCAUACCUGCUGCGUGUAACUGCAAGUGGCAAGCAGAUGAUCAGAGGUCUCGGGCUCCUGGCAACAUAGACAACACUCGUCCCAAUUCUGUAGCCCAUGCUUCUUACGGCGAGCCGAUGUCCAAAGCCGUUGCCUCGUAGCAAGCCACAUGAAAAGCUUAACGCGGAGGGGGGCCCAAGCUCGCCAGAUACAACCAAAAGCCGGUGAUUUAACUGACCCCACGAAGAAGAAAUUGUAGGCCGACCUAGCGGAGUAUGUGCCUGACUUCUCCCAACGCCACAUUAUCGUGUCCAUUGCACCUUCCUGGAGCUGGACAUCAGAUACAGCGUGCCAUAGCUGGACGUAUUGCGAGAUUGCAGCCACUAUUAGUCGUCCAACGAUGUCAUGGAUCCAUCUUUUCCCCAGAAGAGCAGCCGCCACAGUUCUUGUUUUCCUAAUAUUUGGCUUAACCAUGAGGCACAGGUCAAGAGCUAAAGUGCAGGGAGAGAGAUCGCCCAGCCAGCAGUCCUCCCAGAAGAGUGCAAUAUUCCCGCUGCCCAAGUGUACACGAGUGGAAAUCUGGAAGAUUUUGAGCAAGGUGUGGUUGUUGUCCAGCGUGUUGGCAAGGUACUUCCAUGGCCGCCGAUCAUCAGUCCUUUUGAACCACAGCCAGCGCAAACGGAGAGCCAACGAUGCCAUUCGGAGGUCCUGGAUUCCUAGACCCCCCACAGGUUUAGGACGGCAAGCAAUUGGCCAGGCAACAGUACAUUGCCCUCCAUUGGCGGCCCGCUUUCCUGCCCACAGGAAGCCUCUUCGGAGUUUGUCGAUUUCAUGGAAUACCCAGGCCGGGAUGUCAAGAGAAAUUAGAUUGUAGGUGCAAGUCGCUGUCAGGACCGAUUGGACCACGGUCAGCCUCCCCGCCUUGUUCAUGAGUUGAGCCUUCCAGCUAGGGAUUUUACUGGCCACCUUGUCAAUCAAAGGUUGGAAAUGGGUCUUCCUCAAGCGCCGAACCGAUAGGGGCAUACCGAGGUACUGUAUUGGAAACCCAACCACUUGAGCGGGGAAAAUACCUCUGAUCCUCUCAAUUUGCUGGUCACUACAAGCAAUUGGGGCGAUAGAGCACUUCUGCAGAUUUGUGCGCAGCCCUGAAGCGUUGCCGAAGAAGUCAAGAAUCCCUUUAAUGGCGAUUGCAUCCUGGACCACUAGCCUAGCAAAAAUGAUCACGUCAUCGGCGUGUAAGGAGCACUGAUGACAGAUAGUGUUAUCGGCUGGAUGGGAGAGGACACCCAAUUCGGCCGCCCUCCUAAGGAGCCGGUGCAGUACCUCCAUGACGAGUAUGAAAAGCAUUGGCGAAAGGGGGUCGCCUUGCCGCAGCCCUCUAGCAUUGCCUAUUGAUCGACCAGGGGAACCGUUGAGCAGAAUUCUGGUGGUGGCCAAAGACAUUACGACAGAGAUCCAGUCCCUCCACUUGGUCCCAAAGCCCCUCGCCUGUAGGACUUGCAGGAGGAAUGGCCAACACACCGUGUCGAAUGCCUUAGAGAUGUCAAGCUUAAUUAGCAGCUUGGCUUUCGUUUCCUGUGUAAGGUUUUUGCAGCUAGCUCAAUAAACUUGAAGUUAUCAUGGAUUGACCAUCCCUUGACAAACGCACUCUGGUUAACAUCCACCAGAUUGUGUAGCUCCUGACCAAGACGGUUGGCGAGCAGCUUCGCCGCUAGCUUUGUGAAACUAUGAACAAGGCUGAUAGGCCUAUAGUCGGCUGGGGACACCGCGUCCUGCUUUUUCGGUAUCAGGGUGAUAAGUGAGCUGUUCAGUCGGCCAAACUGGGCGCAUGCCCCAUGGUAGAGCGCGUCGAAACAUGCAAGAACGUCUCUCUUGAUCACCGGCCAGGCCGCUCUGUAGAAUUCCGCCGUGAAGCCAUCCGGCCCGGGGGCGCGCUCAUUUGGUAGCUCAACAAUGGUUCUCCAUAUCUCCGCUCAAGGAAUGGUGCUUCCAGAUGAUUGAGGUCAACUGGCAGCAAGCCUAGCGAUGCUAGGUCGAUGGCUUCUGUUCUUGACGAUGGAGUUCCAAGGAUCAUCGCAAAAUAGUUGAAUAGGAGCAGCUCCUUUUCGUCGUGUGUGAUUGUAGUGACGCCCUCGUGCUCAAGUCUAGCAAUGUGCUUCUUUCUUGUGCGGUGGCUGGCAUGUAUAUGGAACAAUUUAGUGUUGGCGUCACCCUCCUUCAGGAAGAGGAGCAUGGAGCGUUGGCGUGCAAUGGUGCGCUCAAGGGAGGAGAGGCCAAGAAUUUUGCAUUUGAGCUGACUCCUCAAACUGGAUUCCUCCUGCGAUAAGGACCGGUGUUCCUGCGCCCUAUCCAGCCACAAGACCAUGGCUCUAGCUAUCAUGAGCUGCGCUUUGACCUCCCCCACUUUCCUGCUACUCCAUUUCUGCAGCGCUUUGGAGGUGCGCUUUAGCUUCUGGUCGAGAGUGAUCAACGGGUCAUUUGUGGCAGUCAGACCACACCAGGCCAUCUGGACGGUUUCGGUGAAUCCCGGCACCCGAACCCACCAAGGUUCAAAGUGAAAGCGGCGCUUGGGGGAGUAGCUGGCGUUGGACGCCAGUAGAAGCGGGCAAUGAUCUGAGAUGUCCGACGAGAGGUCCUGGAGCAUGGCGAAACUGUAGCAGGCUUCCCAGUCCAUGAACACAAGGACCCGAUCGAGUUGGCCAUUACCGGGGCUUGCCGCUCAUUGCUCCGGGUGUAUCGUCUACCAUGGAGGUAGACCUCCUUCAAGUUGACAUCUUCAACGAAGCACCUGAAACGUCCGAUGUUGCGACGGUUAACAUUGGAGGUGCUCUUCUCCGCUGCCCGCAAAAUCAGGUUGAAGUCACCCACAACAAGCCACAUUGGCGAGGCCAGGGAGUGGACCAAGCGUAAUUCCUCAAGGAAUUCGAUUUUGUCAAUGUCCGGUUGAGGUCCAUAGACGGUGGUAAGGGUCCAAGGCAUGUCAUGGCCAUGAACCUGUGCUGAAAUAGUUAAAGAGUGGCGUCCAGCGUGCACCCGCACGCAUGACACAGCUGGGCCCUUGCAAGCGAUUAGGAUGCCCCCCCUGGUUCCCACAGCCGGUAUGUAAUCGAACGACAAGAAGGAACUACCCAGCAUUCCAGCAACAAGGAAAGGCGAGAUUACACUCAGUUUAGUCUCCUGGAUACAUACAAUCGACGCCGUCGUGUCGGACACCACUGUGCGCAGUGAGUCGCGCCGGGAACGUGCGUUCAGGCCGCGGACGUUCCACACCAGAACAUUUAUGUUGGCAACUUCCAUUAGUAACCGUGGCGACACGAGCAGCGGGGGUGCGGCAGCUGCGUUAGAUGCUGAGCUCUCCGGCCUGGCUCACCAGUUGCCUUAACUGGGCAUCAGAGAGCCCAUUGGCCAGCGGCAGUAUGUCACAGAGCGCAGCAAAGUGCUAGGGUUGCACAGUGGAAGACAGGAACUUGUCGAAGUUUCGGGGAGUAGCGUAGUCGUCAUCGGCAUCCUGGGACAAAACACCCAGUUUCUUCAUGGCGAGGAUCUCACCCUUGCGCGAUGGGCAAACUGCUGCAUUGAGAGGUUUGUUGGCGAGCCGGUUGCUACGGCGGGGCGUCACGGUGGCGAUGAGCGGCGCGGCUUGGAUCAGUGGAUGUUUUGCCAGCGGGGGGUCCAAGGGAAGUCGAACGCUGUGAAGAAAGGCCUCAGUUUUCUCCCACACCACCAUGGAGGAAGUAGGGGAUGGUGGUGACGUCGGCUGCGUCGCCAGUGGCGUAGACUCCCCCUGCGCCGGCGGCACCUGCUCGGACGGGGAGGGGUCGGUCGGCAAGCCCUGCAAGCCGUGAGGGCGCCUGGAGUACGUGCAGGGAGGGGUCGGGUGUUCCCAGGCCUGCAGUUCUCCGUGCCCGCCUAUGCCGGGCGUCCGACCCCCCGGCGACGAAGACAGAAGGGUGGUUUCAAGCAACAUGGGGUCGUCACGAGACGGGGGCGUAGAAGGCAGGAAGUCCGGGAGCAGGUCAACCGAGAGGUCAGCCGGGGGGGGGGGGGUGGGAGAGGUACAGGCACGCAUGGGCACCUCCCCAGACUUCCGGACUCCCGAUGCACACGCCGCGACGACGUCACGGUGACAGGGCAUGACCGCGUUGUGCCCUGGUCAUGCACCCUGCAAGACGUACCAGAGGUAGCGUGGACGUUCACGGGCGGGCUGCCCAUGGCCACGUACCCCACGCGAAGGACAGUCACAUUUGGUAAAGGAGCCAUAAUGGUGGGCCCCUCCGAGACCGGCGGGCAGUCAAGGGGCCGCGACUGAGGAGGAGCUACCGCCGUAAGCGCCAUCUCGGGGCUGUCGGGCCGCCGCAGCGUCCUGGACGGUGGCGGCGCCAAAGAGACGCGCCUGGAGCUGGGACCCGGAGCAUCGACGUCGUCGCAGCUGAAGAAGGAGCCGUCCUCGAAGCCUUGCCUAGUGGGGAAGCCAUGCAGACACGGACCAUACCCGUCCCCGCCAGAGGUGUUCCGAUCAGGGUCGCCGUCGCGGUCGGACCCCCCAUCACUGGACGGCAGCGACGGGGACGACGUCGGCGUGCGUGAACGGAAAUCCGCGACAUGGCGAAGCCGGAUGACAAUGUCGUAGAACAGGCCUUUCUUCUGCCUAAGGUAUGGCGGCAGGUUCCCCCAAAUUCGCUGCAUCGUCGGGUCCUUAUACGAAACUUGCUGUUCAUGUUCCGCAAUCCAGAGCCUACAUCACUUCGGGAUGCGGGCCGGAUCAUCAGUCCACGCCUGCACCUUCAUCGUUCUCAUGUCCAACCAAUCGCUGGGAGCGGACGCCACCUGUUCCACCCAACAACUAGGAGCAAGAAUUUUCCUGGCCGUUCGGGCGCUCCAGGCAUGCGCGGGGAUGCCGUCCAGCUCCAGAGAAACGCGGAAGAAGCAAGUAUCAGCGCUCGCCCGCACCAGCCGCGUCCAAGGGCGGAGAGAAAAACGGAAUUCUCCCACCGGCACGAACCUCGCAGCCAAGGCCGCGUCCCUGGUGCGCUGCGACGUGAAGGACACCAGGAAACACUCGGGCCAAAACUGACGCACCGAGAAAUUGUCCGACCCAGGCACCGGCAGCUCAGCGAUGGCUCGGCGAAAACCAUCGAGCGGCUGGUCGGCCGGGGCACCUGGGGCCACCGCCAGGAGCGAAAAGCGGAGACGCUCCUCCUCCGCGUCCAUGGCAGCAUCCCUGGACAGGAAGCAGGUAACCUCCCCCGGGCGGCAGUCCGGGUGGCCGGGGGGCAUAUCUUCGUCGUAGAGUGCGUUGGCGAUGUCAUCGUCCGAGGGGGUACCUGAACCCGACGGCCCUUCACGAAGCGGAGGCCGCGGUGGGUUCAGUUGCAGUGAUGACGAGACCUGGGAGCCACGUGGUUGAGGGGUGGCAUGGCUACCGCCCGCCGCCGACCGGGGGGCGGGGGCACGAGCGGAGCUUGACUCAAGGUGUGGUGUCGAGGGAGUGCGUCCUCCAGCGUCACGCCCAUGUGGCGUCGGAGGGGAAUCGCGGUGGGCGCGCACGAAGCGACGCUCAUCCCCAACGCCGGAGGAGGCGGAGCUAGUAGGACUGCGCGGACGCUUGCAGUCGCGGGCGAGGUGCCAGAACCCGUGGCACCGGAAGCACCGGAUAGGGCGUCGACAUUGGGCGAUGAGGUGGUUGAAGGAGAGGCAGUUGAGGCAACGACCAGAGAGCUCCGGCGGGAUGCGCUUCGUCGCUGGUCGGGGGUUGAGUGCUUCCAAGAACUGGCGCUGGGCCAGGCGUUGGCGCCGACGCCUUCUAGACCGAGAUCGGCGACUCUCCGCCGUAGUCCAUCCCUCAUCCGCUGCACCAGAGGAGGGGGCGGGAGGAUGGCCGCAGAUCGAUCCGCCGGAGGGCUUGGCCCCGCGNNNNNNNNNNNNNNNNNNNNNNNNNNNNNNNNNNNNNNNNNNNNNNNNNNNNNNNNNNNNNNNNNNNNNNNNNNNNNNNNNNNNNNNNNNNNNNNNNNNNGCAGCGCCCAAGGGGGGGACGGUCCGGUACCUCACGGCCCCCAGGGUUUCCUACCCAGCAGGGGGAAGGAGCCCCGGGGGUGGCGCAAGCUUGUUUGUGGGAUGGGAUGAGGGGGGGGGGGCGAUUGCUGGUGGAGGAGGCGGGGGGCUGGAGAGGAGGAUGUCGCGGUAGGACGGCCGCGGGAAGCCGCCAUAGGAGGACGAGUCAGAUCCGGAAUCGUCCAGCCACCGGACCUGCUUGCCUCGGCCGCCGGAUGUCCCCGUGGGGAAGAAGGGCUCCAUGCAAGGGGAGAGCUUUCGGGACGGGGAGGGGGAUCCUCCCGAUGCGGGGUUGGUGGUCACCGGUGCCGGAGUGGCCGCCGGCGAGGGGUGGUCGUGGGGACCGGGAGCGGAGCUCAGCGGGGAGCGCGGGGAGCGGAGCGGAGCGAGAGCCAUCCGUCGAAUUAUUUGAUUUAUAAACUAAAUGUCAAACAUAAAUUAAAUUCUGGUCGGUAAUACAUCUUAUUUUCGGCCGAUUGCAGAUAUUUUUGUGUUUUCCCACUUCUCCUCCCGUAGAUGAUAAUAAGGGUCUUGUUUCGGAAAGAGAUACUAAGGGCUCCUCCAAAUUAGGACCUCAUGGAGUUACUUACAGGUAACAGGUGUUGUUCAGCUCAUGCUUAUUGUAUAUUUCACUUCUGUGGUUAUUUAAUUUUUUUGUCUAAUACGUAUUUCCAAUCCUCCUGAAGGUCAGUUUUUGCAGACAUUAUCCAGAUGGAGGAUGUAAAUGAACUCUGUAAACAUUUAAUUCUAGCAUCAAGACAAGCUGCCGAAGCAUUUCUGGGUAUUGUUUUCUAUUCUCUAUAAAAACUAUGCUAGUGAACUACGACUUGAGAUGUGAUUUGUAAGAUAAAACACCACCUGCAGAUAUCAUGGUCACUACCCGGUGACAGGGACUUUUAGUUUUUCUUUAGAUGACUUGCUGAUUUCCAAGUGUUGGGACUCUGGGAGGGAAUUGCAUUGUUCCUCCACCAGCUGAAAUUAUGCAUAUAUAUUAAAGUACAAAUGAAAUUUUGAUAGUACAGGUAACUCUGUACUAAGUGGACGCCUAUCAGUCCAAAUCAAUCCCCAAAUGUAACCUGAUACUCCCCCUGUUUAAGACUUAAAAAAGGAAAAUCAAGUUAAGGCCCCAUGCAGUGUUUAGUCAGUAUCUCAAUCUUUUUUCUACUAUCUCCUGUAUUAGACCAAUCAGCCCAAGGGGCUAGAAUCAGUGGCGGACCUACGACCUGGGCUGCCCAGGCUGCAGCCUGAGUCCAAGGCCAAAAUUCCAAUGGUGGUUUAGGAAACGUUAGUCAAAUAUCAAAGGACAAACACAUACAAGUUUCUACUAAGCUGGGAGCAGCCCCGGUCCUUAGCAGUUCUUGGGUCCACCCCUGGCUAGUAGGUUGGUUAGGUGUUAGGAGCCAUAGGGUUGACCAGCUGGAUAAUAUUUCAUAAAAAUAAAUAUUAGAAUUUCCAAAGCAAUUAUUUUGUAUGCUUUGUCUCCAACCACAAACCACCACAAAAGGGAGUAGAGGAAGAACGCGGCAAGGCACCAGGGUUCAUCUAGAUUACCACUUUGACCACAUGUCAGGCAGUUGUGCCUUCUGGACUUAUUUUGCCAUACACUUACUGCAAAUGAUUUCAAGUGUUAUCUACCUUCUGGACUCACAGUUUAUUCACUUCUAAGUAAUUGCCACCAACAUUUUACAAGAAAGAUACUCACCUUUCAUUGAUCAUCUGAACUGUAGUAUUCUUUACUGAUAAAAGUCUCCAAGUCCUCACUCUUGAGAUGGGCAUCUGCAGAUAUUGAACUUUGGUUGCUAACUUUUGUUAAGUGCAUUUGCUUGAUAAUUCUUUGAUUAGUGCAUAUUAUAUAUACUUUGUAAACACCUUACCGUGAUAUAUUUUCUCUGAAACUCUAAUUUUUCAGAUUCAGGUAUUACGGAGAACACCAGCACAAAAAAGUUGGACCAAGCAGAAAGUUGCCUGUCCUCCAGAAACUCUGACAGGGAAGCAGUUCAGAAAGGACAGGACAUACAUGCAUAUUCACCAGAAAGCAGUUCUUAUGGAUGGAACGAUAUCAACAGGCAUAUGUCUCCUGGAUCCCAGGUAUUGAUGUGUGAUGAGCAUGAUGCUGUUCUCCAGUCGUCAAGAGCUGAAGAUGCAAUUCGCUCAACCAUGAUACAGAACUUGCCAAACAUUUUCAUAGGGCAAGAGAGGCGUGUACUGACCAGUUUCCGCGACUGCCUCUGUAAGCUCGCAAACUGUGGCAGAGUGCAAGGUUAGUCUUGCACACAUAAUGACCUAAGCUACUGAAGCAUUAUGUAUUUUGUUUUACUAUCUUUCCAUCUUCGGUAUUUGAUAUGGCAAAUAGUAUGGAAAUAAAUGCCUUUUCUUUCAACAGGAGAGAAGCUAUCUUCUAUGGGGGUGUUUGGUUCCCUUUGCUUAUUUUUAUCACGUGUCACAUCAAAUGUUUAGGUAUUAAUUAGGAGUAUUAAACGUAGACUAUUUACAAAAUCCAUUAUAUAAGUGGAGGCUAUCGGCGAAACGAACCUGAGCGAAUCUCAUGACGUAAUUAAUCGCAUCAUUAUUGUCAAAUCAUGGACUAAUUAGGCGUAAUAGAUUCGUCUCGCCGUUUAGCCUCCACUUAUAUUAUGUGUUUUGUAAAUAAUCUACGUUUAAUACUCCUAAUUAGUACUAAACAUUCGAUGUGACGGGUGAACCAAACCAGGCCUAUAUCGACCAAGCGCCGUUCUAAUUAGGUGCUAGGCUGCUGCAGCUGCAGCCGCAGCCAGCCCACCGAACGAGCUCGCGCAUCACCUCCUCCAUAAGAACGGUUGGAGGGAUAUCCAGGAGCAGGCAAAUGAAUGAAUGAUUCCUCCAUCCUCCUGUAACUAUUAGUGACGCUUGACUUUCCAUUCCGUGGAGAAGUCUCGGAAAGGUUCCCAAAUUGAACAGCAAGGUCGAGCAAGCAUUGCAUUUCACGAGAAUGGCGUCGACAAACAAAGACUAAGUACUAACCCUACAGAGUACCGUUGGUUCUAGCAUAAUUUAAUCCAUGAUUCUGAUAUGUGAAAAUGGCGUUCGUUUCAGGAGAAUCUGGUCUGUGCUGAACGGUUCCUAGACGUAUGCUAGAUGCUAGUAAAAACGUUUUCUUAGUCCUGUACAUUCUUGAGUUGUGCCUCUGUAAUAUAAAUAGUUUGCCUAGACAUGCGUGGAUCUGUUCUCCUAUAUCUGAAGCCCAUGUAAUCAUAUCGCCUGGUUGUCCUACUACUAAUUAAUCCAUGGAAAAUGGUCAACACGGAACCGCGGGAAAAAUUCUCUCUUGUGAGGACAAUGUUGUAAAAUCGUGAAGUCUUUGUGACAAGGGCGGAUGCCUUUGGUCUUUCAAAAAAAGAAGAGCUGGUGCCUUUCUCUAGUCUUUUUCCGGCAUUCGAGUGCAUCGAGAAGGGUAGUUUGGGAACCAUGAACUUUUCAUCUGGUCAUUUCUCCUAUAGAUGUAAAAGUUGUACCAGCCUUUCACUUUGUACCCUCCAGCUCCAAUCCUCCAUGGUGGCUUGCUGGCCUUUGCGUGUGCUCCUACAGUAGGAUACGCACAUGGCUGGUCGCCCAACGCCUGGACAGCAAACGAAAGAGGUAUUUACUGCGGUUCCCGAAAAGGUUAACUAGCAAAGUAACUGCCACCGACGUUUUACAAGGAAAUACGAACUCUCGAAAUUCUUGUUUCUGUAAUACUGAAGUUUCAAAUUUCGAAGAACCAGCAAACAACCUAAACCUGAGCGAGAGGUUAUGGACAUGCCAGACUAGAAAAUAAAAAUGAUAAGUGGGCGCAUAUCCACAAACCGACCUUAGCUCAGUUGGUAGAGCGGAGGACUGUAGUGUAGGCAGAUAAAUCCUUAGGUCGCUGGUUCGAAUCCGGCAGGUCGGAUGUAUUUGUUUUGAUUUAUUUUUCCUGUAUUUGUCUUUCUUGAUCUUCCGGACUCUAGUCUGCAUGGCAAAUAGUUUUAAAAAGCUUUGUAGAAAAGCAAAUUUCAUUAGCAAAUAUUUUUGCGCAGCAGGGUGGUUUUGGUGAAAAAUGGUCUUAAAACGUUUUUGCAGGAAAAAAGAGAAGAUGCAUGUGACCCAGUAUAUUUUUUGUUUGUUAUUGUUUCAUUCUUUGCAACAGGCUACUUUUGAUGUUGCUUAUUUGCCAUUGCGAAAAAGGGUAAUUGUAAUAUAUCAUGAUUAUCUUUCAAAAAAAUAUAUCAGGAUUACACAGUGCUAUCUUGGUUUACAAAAUAGAUGAGUACUUUGACUUUAACAAUGCAUGCUUUGACAAAAUAAUUUUCCCCUUGAAUUUUAGUUAAUUAAUGCAGUAGAUUGCAUUGUCAUCAGAUUGCUACAUCAAAAAUACUUUAAAAACAUCGUAGAUUUAGUUUAUCCUCAUUUAUUUUUGGAAAAAAAAAUCCACGGCCAGACUUUAAACAAUAAAGUCAAAAGUUACAGUUGUUAUAUUUGUAAAAGGAGGGAGUAAUAUACAUUUUACUAGCAAUCAAAAUGUUAAGCAACUCAUUUAACAACUUUUCAACAUGUAAAAAGACUCCCCGGCUACUGUGACAUGUUCUCUGAAUGUUCGACUUGCUAUGCUAGUUCCCAUUUGAAUUAUUCAGACUUUUAUUUCCCAUGUAAUUGAGCUGCUAUAUGCCUACAAGAGCCCAUCUGAGUUAAUCAUUUCCUUUUUUAAAAAAAAGACUUAUUAAAUGUAUUUUUCCUCCAUGUACCCAAUGUUUUUUUAGUUCUGAUAACUGAAUACUGCUAAAUUCACACAAGAACAGGAAAGCCAACUCAAAAUAAUUGAUUCUUAUUGCUCAUCUCCAACCAACAACUGAAGCAUGCACAACCACCACCGGAACCUCCCAGCACAACCAACAAAUCCUUGCUUUCUUGCUGGUAAGACGGCAGUUUCUUAUCAUGCCCAGCAUUUCUUUGCUCUAGUUCUACCUCUACUCCUAACUCUCUCUAAUCUCUAUGGAAGCCAAACCAUAAUUACAAUGAUAUUGGUAGCUAAAAUCGCUCAACGGUUGGCUUCUAUUCCACUUAAGUCCUACUGCCGACGCAGUCACCCAGCUUAUGAUGGUGGGAAGAACCGGUUGAGGUUGAAUGGCAGGUUGUAGAACUCCUCAUUCCGGCUGUCACCGCGGAACGUCCUGAACCUCGCCCACCAAGGCAUCCCGCGGUCCUUCGCCCUGUUUCUCACCUCCAACGUGUUGUCGAGGAUCACCGAGAUGAUGAAUCCUACGGUUGGGGGUGAGGAAAAGAUGGUGUUGAUGAGGUCAUUGAACUGCACAUUGCACAGAACAGUUUAGUUCAGUUCAGAAAAGUUUUCUGCGUCCAUUCAUUUUCAGCUUAUACAAGGUAUUUACAGCGAGCAGAAAAGGGCUACAUAGUACAUACCCAUCCGGCUCUUGUGUGUGCUGGGCUAUGCUGAGCGCUUAUUGUAAACUGGAAGAAGUACUCUGGGAUGGAGAUGCCAAGGAAGAGUGAGAUGCCUAUGAUGAAGAGGUUGCGCAUCGAGUUCAUGUUUGUGAACUGCAUAAAGGAGAGCCCCACAGCACCUGAAAACAAAAGAGAAAACAGAGGCCUUAGAGAGAUAAAAUCUUGUGAAAUAGCAAAACCAAUAACAAAUUAUUAACAGAAGAGAGAAGUUUUCUUUUGACAUCUGAAACUGAAAGUUCGUACCGACAUAGCCAAACAACACGCAAUAUAUGGCGGCAAACAGUGUGAAUGGGAUCGAUGCGAAGAGCGCUCCAAAUCGCCCUGAAAUUAUGAAAUGUGUUCAGAACCAGAGAAAGAUUGGUGAGUAUAUUGACCUAUAUUGAAAAAAAUAUUCUACCUAGGAUGGAGAAGAAGAUCAUGAAACCAGCAGAGAUCUGGAUCACUCUUCUGCUACCAAUCCUGGUUGAUCCUAGGAGACCGACAUUCUCCCUGUUUUGGGCAAAGUAACAUACAUGAAGUUAGGCCUGGCAUGACACUUGAUAAAGAUCUGAAAGCAAACUUGGUGUGACAGAUUAACACACUUACACAGAGACUGUAGAGCCGCUCACAGUACCAAAUAGACCGUCGAAUAGCAGACCAAUUCCCUGAAUUUUCACAUAAAUCAGCAGAAAGAGGAGAAACCAAAAAUCAUCUUCUCAAUAGAGGAAUCACCAAAUUUCUCAUUGUUUCCUAGUGUGUGACAUUAACUGACCUGCCAUCCAAUGCCCCUACUCAGGACAAACGGUGGUGGUGGCGUCGCACUUGCCAACCGGGCAGCAGCCAUAAAUGCUCCAGUAGACUGCAAUGUUCAAAAUAUCGUCAGACAAAUCAGAUCAGCAUAAUGUUAACUAACUGCAUUGUGUAGCUACAAUAAAUCACAUAGUAGUAAUGGAACCUUACCUCUAUUAAGGACACCAGCACGGCAGACAUCAUACCGAAUGAAUGAUCUGCACUGAACGUCGGUGCACCCCAUUGCAGUGGGUAUGGAAUACUGAUCCUGAAGAAUAUUUUUGAUCAAGUUAUUUUGAAGUGUGAAAUAGUGAGAGGAAAA
This 27352-nucleotide long non-coding RNA is filed under the name Setaria italica (foxtail millet). RNAcentral describes it as "long non-coding RNA (SITA_LNC004622)". The stretch from base 24630 to 24715 matches the Rfam family "tRNA". Lineage: Eukaryota; Viridiplantae; Streptophyta; Magnoliopsida; Poales; Poaceae. The record is from RNAcentral.